UACGUAGGGGGCUAGCGUUGUCCGGAAUCAUUGGGCGUAAAGCGCGUGUAGGCGGUCCGGUAAGUCCGCUGUGAAAGUCGGGGGCUCAACCCUCGGAUGCCGGUGGAUACUGUCGGGCUUGAGUACGGAAGAGGCGAGUGGAAUUCCUGGUGUAGCAGUGAAAUGCGCAGAUAUCAGGAGGAACACCGGUGGCGAAGGCGGCAUCCUGGACCAAUAUUGACGCUGAGGAGCGAAAGCCAGGGGAGCAAACGGG
Molecule: ribosomal RNA, 253 nt
Filed under: uncultured bacterium
Lineage: Bacteria
Description: partial 16S ribosomal RNA
Rfam family: Bacterial small subunit ribosomal RNA
Source: RNAcentral